Molecule: ribosomal RNA, 253 nt
Filed under: uncultured bacterium
Lineage: Bacteria
Description: partial 16S ribosomal RNA
Rfam family: Bacterial small subunit ribosomal RNA
Source: RNAcentral
UACGAGGGGUGCAAGCGUUGCUCGGAAUUAUUGGGCGUAAAGGGUAGGUAGGUGGUCUCGUUUGUCUGGGGUGAAAGCCUUGAGCUUAACUCAAGAAGUGCCCUAGAAACGGCGAGACUGGAGUCUUGGAGAGGGUCGUGGAAUUCCCGGUGUAGCGGUGAAAUGCGUAGAGAUCGGGAGGAACACCAGAGGCGAAGGCGGCGACCUGGUCCAUUACUGACGCUGAGGCGCGACAGCGUGGGGAGCAAACAGG